UUGACCCCAAAGGGGUCGAGACCCACAGGUUGAGAACUGCUGCUCUAUGUGAACCAACAAUAGCUAUUGGGUGAGGUGUGUGCAUCAGUUUUCUGAACCAUAAACACACAGAAGAGCCUGGGACUGGAGAAGUGUCUGUUCCCUUGCUAUCCUCAUGGAGGAGGACAUGAAAAGCCAAUAAAAACACCUGGAAAAUUGAGAUCUGGUUCUGCGAUGGACAGUUCCUGGAGGAGGGAUAGUUUAGGAAGGGCAGCCAGAGAAGUCUUGCUGAAGAAAUGGUUGCUACUUUUAAAAAGACUUCCUCGCUAUAAUUUGGAGACUUAGUUUGUGGAAGCAACCAGCUUCAUUAAGGUCCCAACUGCCACCAAUAAGGCCAGCUCUGGCUUAUGGAUGCCACACACAUCUCUUCUGGUGCCCUUCAGACACCCAGAGCUGUUCUGUCAGGGUUUGAAGUCGUGUGAGUCAGAACCAGUUUCUUCUGCAACUCUCUGAGAAGACGUGAUGUUGGACGAACACUCCGCACCUCUCUUCAUCUUCUCAAGGCGAAGCUAAGAACUUACGCAGAUGGAGAGUUGCAUUCUGAGUGCCAGUAUUGCCGUAAGCAUGGUGGUGCAUAUCUGUAAUGGCAGGACUCGAAAAGAACAGGCAGAGGAUUGCCACGGUUUGAAGCCAGCUGGUAUAACUUAAAGUUCUUGGAAGAUCCACCUCUAAUCUGGGCCACACUUUAGGCUGGCAGCCUAUAUAAAGGACAUGAAAGAAGUUAUCUCUUUGUCUGCUUGCUGUCAGUCUCUCUAGCAAGUCCAUUCCUUCACUGGCAUUAGAGACUACUUCUUUGAGAUUCUGGUAUAUAUAGAAGACCAGCAGAGACAUCCAGCCCUGUGGACUGAAUAACUACUGGAUUCUUGGACUUUGCAUUGGUAGGCAGUCAUUGUUGGACUAGCUUGACUGCAGCCUGUAAGCCAUUCUAAUAAAUCCCCUCAUAGGAGCUUAGAAGAUAAGAAUGUUGAGAGUAGUGUAGACAUUAAAGGCCUGGCUUGUAAGGUUUCAGAGGGAAGCAAAGACUCUACUGGACCAUAUGUGUGAAGACUCCGUCGUGUCUGAUCAUUUGGAACUGAAGGGUCAGUUGUGAAACCUUUGGGUUACUGGGACAAUUGAUGAUGGCUAUUGGACCUAAGAAAUUAGUGGUGAUUAAGAAGAGACCAGCAUCACUGAGGUUAAAUCUUCUGGGAGGUGUUUUUUCAGGGUCAGCACACAGAAGCUGUGUCCCAAAGACAGUCAAGGUUGUACCUUGUGCUAGUAGCUGAACUUGGUAGUGUAAGAGUCAUCUAGGUGGUACUGGUUUUGAAGAUAUGAAGGGAUCAUGGACAGCAGCUGAGGCUGGGCACUAUAAAAAUCUAUUGGUGAAGCUAUUGGUGAAGGUGAAGCCUCAGUAGCAGUUGAAGGCCGAGGACUAAGGGGCCAUGCAGAGAAGUUGAGGUUUGGCUCUAUGAAGAGAGCUCAGGAGAGGCUAUUGGUGAAAGUGCAGCCCAGUUACAGCAGAAGACCCCAGCAUUUUGGAGAUGCUAGUACCAUGGGAUGAUCAUCAAGAACAGCAACAGCAGUGGAGUGGAGCCUGGUGGAGCUUAGAAGACAAGCUGUUUGUGCUGCAGAGGGUGGAGCCGGAGAAGUGACCCAAGUCCUUUGGAGGAGCCCAGAAGAUUAUGAGUGGAUCCCAGACAUUAGACACUGAGUCAUUUACAGUUGGGGUUUGUUUUUUCUUUGAUCUGAUUGUGACUGUGCCCUGGUUCUUCCCUCUUGAAGUAGGAAAGUAUUUAUAUUUUGAUUUUAUAGGCAUUCACAGUUGAGAGACUGAAUUUAAAAAGAGAUUUAAAAUUUUAAAAGAGACUUCAGAUUUUUAAAUAGACCAAAUUAAAGUGUUUGAAUUUUGUUUUAAACUGUGGCACUUUUAGAACUCGGAAUAUUUUAUAUUUUGAUGUUCAUAUUAAUGUGUGCCUUUGGGGAUGGAUGAACAAGAAAGGAAAGGUUGUAGCUUAACAGUGAUGUGUUUAUGUGUCAAGUUGACAAGGGGUCAUUUCUUCUGGCUAGUUUUAUGUCAACUUGACACAAGCUAGAGUCUUCAGAGAGGAGGGAGCCUCAAUUGAGAAAAUGCCUCUAUAAGAUUGAGCUUUUAUGCAAGCCUGUAGGCCAUUUUCUUGGUCAGUGAUUGAUAGGGGAGGGCCCAGCCCAUCAUGGGUGGUGCCGUCUCUGGGCUGGUGGUCCUAGGUUCUAUAAGAAAGCAGAUUGAGCAAGCCAUGUGGCACAAGCCAAUAAGCAGCACUCCUCAAUGGCCUUGGCAUUAGCUCCUGCCUCCAGGUUCCUGCCCUGCUUGAGUUCCUGUCAUGACUUCCUCUAGUGAUGAACAGUGAUGUGGAAGAGUAAGCCAAAUAAACCCUUUCCUCCCCAAAUUGCUUUUGGUCAUGCUGUUUCAUCACAGCAAUAGUAACCCUGGCUAAGACAUGCAUAUACUUCAACAAAUUGGUUGUAACUCAUGCUUUUUAUGUUUGUGUCUAAAUCUUCAUACUAAAAGCACAUUACAUAUUAUGAUUACAGUAUUAAAGUAUUAUAAAGCUGAUUUAUUUUACCAGUAAGUUUUAUACUUUUUGAUGUUUUUGUGCUGCACAUUAAUGUCCUUUGCUUUCAUCUUGAGGAAAUAUUGUAAGGUAAGCCUGUUGGUAAUAACUCUCUCAGCUGUUGCCUGAGAAAUCUUUAUGUUUUCCUUGUUCCUGGGACAGUUUUGCUGGGUAUAUUGCUCCUGAUUUGAAUCUUUUCUAUUUUAGGAUUUGACUGUGUCGUCCCACUCCUUCCUGGCUGUUAAAAAUGGCUGUUAGUAAUA
Long non-coding RNA from Peromyscus californicus insignis, 2872 nucleotides. RefSeq lists it as uncharacterized. The record is from RefSeq and is a predicted model, not a curated record. Lineage: Eukaryota; Metazoa; Chordata; Mammalia; Rodentia; Cricetidae. The transcript has 5 exons.